UUUAUUUAUUUGGCAUCCACUUUUCUUUUUUUUUUUUGGUUUCCAGAGAUCUGAAAGUGAACAAAAGGAAAAGAAAAGUAAAGAAAAAGCGUAAUGACAUUCAGUUCCUGUCUGUACCUCCCCCUGAAAGACGUAGGUUUUCUUCUAAACAGUAUGUGAGUGCAAAGCAUAAAUCAGCAGAAACGGGAAGACGUGUGCAUCUCCGGUGGCUGCCUGCGUUCAUUUGCUCCCUUCCAUCUGCAGCAUGAAGCGUGACCUCAAGAAGAAACUCGUACUUUUCUCAUUCAUGUUGUACUUGACUCUUAACGUGCAAUCAACGCAUGAAGUGAAUGGCACAUUGGAAGAAAGCAUCACUGUUAACUUCACUUUUCAAGAUUCUGUUAGAAACUCCAAACCUAGUCUGUACAAAAAUGGGGAAAAGAUAGGAACUUGGAUAGAAAUCAACCUUUGCAAAGAAAAGUUUGCCCUGAGUGAUGUGGAAAACAGGACUGUCACACUACACAUCACAAAUCUCACACUGGAAGAUGAAGGGACAUAUCAUGUCGCAGUGCUUCCAGAUGGUGUUAACUCUCUUUUUGAGAGCAAUACAAUUUAUAUUAAAGUCAAAUUAGGUAAUAAAUCAGCAGAAACUGAAAAAGAAACGGAAGCUGUGCAUGAAAGCAUAGUGACUGAUUCACCUAAACUGGAGUCAUCGGAACAAAAGCCAUUCUUCAUUUUCUUCAGUGCGUUAGUUAUUAUAUGUAUAUGUCUCUUUGUGGGGAUAUUGUGCUGGCUUUUUAGGACCUAUCCAAGAAAACCAGAUGCAGAAAACCCUCCAGUUCACAACAACACAACACAACAGCAGGGGCAGUGUGGGACAUCCGGGGCUGUGUUUGUCAGCUGUGUGGAGUAUGGAGAGUUAGACUUUCAAAACAGACCUGAAAGAGAUGACAAAGUAAAACCUGCCGAGGCGACAUCAAAGGCCCAGGACGGAGUGGAAUAUGCUGCCAUCAUUUUCCCUCAGCAAAAACAGCCACCGAGUGGGCGGAUGAGAAAUAAACAGCAAGUACCUGCCAUUAAGUGAUAGUCAGCCUCAUUAAACCAUAUUGUCCACUAAAGUUAGUCUGUUUUAAUAUAUGCUCAUGUAUACCUAAUAUACUAUUUGGGAGUUUUAUUGAGAGUGAGUUGAAAUCCUAAACCGUUUAAGACUGUUAUAUGAUCAUUAUUAUAUAAUUAUAUGAUCACAAACUGCCACAUAAGUCAUCUUCUCACUGUUAACGAGUUCACAAUGAUACUGUAAACGUGCCACAGAGUUUAACACUGAGUCAUAGAGAGGUGCUAACCACAGAAGCCCCCAUAAAGAAACCUGAGGUACUUGAAUAUGUUUGUACGGUAUUACGUAACCCAGGC
This 1389-nucleotide long non-coding RNA is filed under the name Sinocyclocheilus grahami. RNAcentral's name for it is "lncRNA (ENSSGRG00000023660.1)". The record is from RNAcentral. Lineage: Eukaryota; Metazoa; Chordata; Actinopteri; Cypriniformes; Cyprinidae.